Phoenicopterus ruber ruber is the source of this 154-nucleotide non-coding RNA. The record is from Rfam. NCBI's taxonomy places the organism in Eukaryota, Metazoa, Chordata, Aves, Phoenicopteriformes, Phoenicopteridae.
GAUCAGUUCCUUCUGUUUAUGUAGCAGUGAAGCCAUAAGCCUGUGCCUGUGAACUGGCAAUCUGUUUCCAUGGAAAUGAAAGGGAUGUCACAAAUGUAGCGCUAUGACUUCAUUUCAAGAUUGAGUACAAGGAGAAGAUGGGCAGCAAAGGAGG